UGAUCCCAGGAGAAAACAUUCUACUCCUCAACAUGGGUCUUGCCUGAUUCAUUUACCAACUAUGACAAGCUCGUGGCACAGAGGAAAAUGGACAUAAGGUAGCGGUAACAGGCUGGCGACUGUGGCUUUUACACAUUGCUUCACACAACCCUGUCCAGGAGUUUUACACACUCACUAAACAAACAGAAGACACCAUCCAAUUCACUGGAGCCCCGUUGGAUAAAUACGGAAAGAAUGUGGGAGCUAUGUCAUGAACCACAAUGGUUUUGUGUUCUGUGUAAUUUGAAGACGAGAUUCCUUUGCUGUGUGUCACCUCCCAUAUUACCACUGUCGCCCAACAUUUCAUAACCAUCAACUCUUUGCCAGUGCCCACAUGCAAAGAUGGGUUUGUAUUAAAAAAUAAAUGAGAACAGCACAUUCUGAUGUGGUGUAGUAUAUCAGCAUUUUCCAUGAAACCUCGUCUCCGGCCUUCCCCUUUUAGGAAACAAAGGACCCGUGACAGAGCCUACUUAUCCCGUUACAGCUCCUGGUGAGAAGGGCGAAGCCAUGUCAGAAAUAAUAGAAAAGGCUUUUUCCUUUGAAAUAUCUAAACGUUCAAAGAUGGGAACAGCCGCAGGGGGGAGAAUACUGUGCUAUGCAAGUUGAUCUGAUUUUGUGGACCAUCCAUUUCCAAUUGGGAAGCUCACUUACUUUCAACUUGAAGCAUCAGAAAACCAGACUUACAGCAGCUUCAGCCUAUAGGGGUUUAUUUUUCUCAUGUAACAAGAAGAACAGAAGUGGACAGAGGCCGAGUUCUCAAGGACUCAGUUUCUUUCUGUCCCACCAACCUUACCAUGUUGGAUUGUCAUCUUUGUGCUUGUUGCCUCAUGAUGGCAAGAUGGCUGCAGCACCUCUGGGACUCACGACUGAUUUUUAAGGUAGGAAGAAGGGGACAGGACUGUACUAGCCAGAUGGCUUCCUUUCAUCUGGAAAGCAAAAGGUUUCCCUGAAUCCUCAGCAGAUUUCUGCUGUCUUCCCAUUGGCCAGAACUGUGUCACAUGGUCACUUUUAAUAGGUUUAAAAAUGAGUUUUUCUUGGGAAUAUUGCUGGCUUGAACUAAAUUGUGGUUCUGUUAGUGCAAAAAAGAGGAGUGGGUGGAGUUUGGUCACAUACCUCACACAGCCGCUCUUCUUAAGAUGCUACUUAGAGGAUGGUAGGGACUGAGAGGAGGAGGCAGAAGGAGCAUAGCGACCUCUUUGGAGAUACUACAGAGCCUAAGUCAAAGCUUGUUCUUGGACCCAGGAAAUAUGUCAAAUCCUUCCAGUGAAUGGUGCCUUUCAGGAUUGGAGACUACUCCCCCAGUUGCUGAUGGUGUGGUCAGCCCUCAGUUUUCAGUCCUCUUUGGGAAUUGCCUUGGAUGAAGAAAGUCACCUCACCCAAGAUCACUCCAACUCCUGGGACCCACAUCCAAUGAUUGGCCAAUAUGGGGACUCAAAGGCCUGGUCCCCCUUCCCCAACUUGAGACUACUCUGAAGGAUCACCCAGCUUCAGAGCUUCCCAUGGUUGAGACUUUUAGACUUCACUGUGGUCCAACCAAUCUCUUCCUAUACACGGUCCUGACUCCUUCACUUCCCUCCCAGCACUUCUUCUGUGUUAAUAUCAAACUUCUGUGCUAAUAACAAACUUCUUCCGUGCUAAUAUCUCUCAGUGUCUCCUUCCCUGGGAACUCAACCCUAGAUUGUUUAUACCAGCAGUGAUCCAAGAAAGAGAUGCCAACAUGAGAUUUUGGAAUUGGAUCACCUACCAUCCAGCUGGCAGUGCAGACCCCAUCAGUGGCAGUAGAAGAAGUACAUAUAGUCCGUAGCACAAGAUAGCAGUGAAAUUGUUAAAACUUUUGCC
This 1878-nucleotide long non-coding RNA is filed under the name Homo sapiens (human). Its description in RNAcentral is "HSALNT0022968". The record is from RNAcentral. Lineage: Eukaryota; Metazoa; Chordata; Mammalia; Primates; Hominidae.